CUGUUUAUCAAAAACAUAGCUUUUUGUGAAUUUAUAAAAAGUGUUUUCUGCUCUAUGAUUUUAAAUGGCCGCGGUAAUUUGACCGUGCAAAGGUAGCAUAAUCAUUUGCUUUAUAAUUGAGGGCUAGAAUGAAUGGAAUUACGAGAUCAAAUCUUUAUUUUUUAGAAAAAAAUAAUUUUUUAAUUUAGUUAAGAGACUAAAAUAAGUAAAUGGGACAAGAAGACCCUUUUGAGCUUUAUUUUUUUUUUUAGUUUUACUAGUUAGGAAAAUUUGGUUGGGGCGACCAGAGAAGAAAAAUCUUCUCUCUUGUAUUUUGAUCCAUUUUUAUUGAUAAAUAGAUUUAGUUACCAAAGGGAUAACAGCGUAAUUUUUUUUAARAGUUCUUAUUAAAAAAAUAGAUUGCGACCUCGAUGUUGACUUAUUUCUUCCUUUUUGUGCAGCAGUAAAAAAGGUAGGUCUGUUCGACCUUUAAAGUUUUACGUGAUCU
This is a ribosomal RNA of 487 nucleotides. It matches the Rfam family "Bacterial large subunit ribosomal RNA", at positions 1800 to 2606 of the family's 2925-position model.